This is a long non-coding RNA of Pectinophora gossypiella (pink bollworm), 2189 nucleotides long. RefSeq lists it as uncharacterized. NCBI's taxonomy places the organism in Eukaryota, Metazoa, Arthropoda, Insecta, Lepidoptera, Gelechiidae. The record is from RefSeq and is a predicted model, not a curated record. The transcript is spliced from 3 exons.
UUUGCAUAGUAGCCGGUAUUGUAGUAUAAUGUGCAUUGUGCCAUUAGGGGCACACCGCUCACCGUGCGUACAGAUAACGUACAGACUGAUCGAUGGUAACGCUGUUUUCAUCUUUUAAUUGGCAAUGAAAUGUACCUUGCAAUGUUGUUGUGGGGCUUCUCCGCUGAAUCCUCCGAAUCUUAUUUUUUUACCGAAUAAAUCGUCUCUAAUGCAAAAUAACAUUGGAAAAAGGAUUGAGUUCCCGAUGUAUGAUAACGAAUUGGUGUGAAGUGAACCAAUUAAACACCACCACCACAGCUAUCACCUAAACAUUACUACUUAUUUGGAAGAAUUACAGAUAAAUAUUUUCUUAUUUUAAAAUUAAGUAUAUUUGUAUUUAUAUUACUUUGAAGUCUUAAAUAUUAACAUCCUCCGUUAUAUAUUUUAUACAAGAUUUGUAGAUAAAACCUAACCGGAACAUGUCUGGAACCCCCAAGUAAAAAGGUAAGUAAUUUGUGGGGGUUUUUGGUAAGUAAUCUAUUUAAAAAAAUCUUUAAUCUCAACAUCGUGUUUAAAGUCACUUUGGUUCACAUUUAGUCCGUGUACGAAAUGGUAAUGUAUUUUGGUGACCCUUUUGGUAAGUACCUACCUAAACUUUUUCAAAUGUAUACUUGUAUUAUACAUACUUACCUAAUAUACCUAUUACAUUCAUAAGUGUUUCAAAUAUAUAUGCUGCGACACCUGAAUAUUGCACAGUUGCAAAAAAAAUAUCAGGAAAUAGGUAUUGAAGUAGGUACUACCUCACGAUUCAGCCAUGACCUGCGCUAACAAGAAUGAAUGAAAUACGAGAUCUAAGCUGCAUGCUGAGAAAUACGUUAUACCAGCGAAUAUUUUUUAAACACUCUGAAAUACUUAGAUAUAGUUAUUUUUCUUAAUCAACGACUAGUAAGUACCUUCUCAUUGGAAAGUUCAUAACUUUUAUACUUUCACAAUUUUACUUUCUUUGAUCGAUUUUUUUAUACUCUUUUCUAUCUAAAUUCAAUGGCUAUAAUGCCCGCAAAAAGUUGAUAAAAUGAGUACUGGUUAAGUAUACUUAACUACUUUUCUGUAUUUUCUAAAUACCAUUAAAAUAGAUUUCCGAUUUAGAUUUUUAUCCUUAUUAUUUCAGAUAAUAGGAAGCUCAAAAUCUAGACGAACACAGAACCAUAUAGGAAUAAGAAUCGAAUAAGAAAUGUCACGAUGUGAAUUCAUAUUAAACUCUUUUAGGCAUCCUAGUUUACGGUAAGUAGAUAGAUGCCUAUCUAUAUAUAUAUCCUGUCUAGUUACCUAGGUAUGUGCUUUUUACUAUUAGGUGUUAUCUCCUGGGUUAUAAACGCGGAACAAGCGAAAUUUAUAAAAUCUAAUUUAUAUUGUUUUUCCUUUUUGUAAUUUCGAAUAAGAUUAAGCUUAGAUACUUACUUAAAUCUCCAUUCUGAAGCGGAACUCCCUUAUUCCUAAUCCAGGUUGACCGGCAGUUCGUUAGGUUAUCAGUUGUUUACGAAAACCUGUUUAUGUCUAGACUAAAUCUCAGAUAAUUAACUUGAAAUAAUCCGGUUGUCUGAGCGACGUAUAUUAAGCGUUUUAAGUUAUAUUACGUAACUUGAAGUAAUUAUGAUAAUUAAUUGUAAACUUAUUAUAUUUUUUUAUGCUUCAAUUGUGUCCCGUAAAACGAAUGUAGGUACUUAUAAAACUUCGAUGUCGGCAACUUUUUCCAAUUGCCUUCGUUUACGAUUUACGAGUUUCGAGAAAGCCUAGGGUAGUUAUUGUUGGCAACACCAACACAGAAUUUAAAAAAUAUAAUCUUACUUAGUUUUUGUUUGACGUGUCUACUUGGUCUGUGCCUGUCUGUCUGUACUCUGUAUUGCUCCGCGUCUUACCGCAAUUAAAAGUGUUCUUUCAACCCCUGAUGCAAUAUCGUCCCUUAGCUUACAACACCGCUCAAGUCGAAAAUUGGCGGUUUUUACAUUUCAUUGGAUGAAGAAGAAAAUAAAGGUUAAAAUAAAGUAAAUCGUCAAAAUAAGUACUUAUAAAUAAUUAUUUAUUAACCACUAACUAGAGUAUGUAUUAAGUAGCAAUAAAAAAAUCUACAGAUAUUUUAAAUAAGACAUUUUUUUUCGUCUCCUGUAAAGUUGGUAAAAAUGACUUAAGCGGUGUUGUAAGCUAAGGGACGA